AGAGUUUGAUCAUGGCUCAGCCUGAACGCUGGCGGCGUGGCUAAGACAUGCAAGUCGUACGGGUGUAGCAAUACACCAGUGGCGAACGGGUGAGUAAUGUAUCGCUAACGUGCCCCCGAGUCAGGGAUAGCUGCCCGAAAGGGCAGGUAAUACCUGAUGAGACCACGAAGAGGCAUCUCUUUGUGCCCAAAGCAGCAAUGCGCUCAGGGAGCGGGCGAUAUCGUAUCAGCUAGUUGGUGAGGUAACGGCUCACCAAGGCGACGACGCGUAGCCGGACUGAGAGGUUGGCCGGCCACAUUGGGACUGAGACACUGCCCAGACUCCUACGGGGGGCUGCAGUAACGAAUCUUCCGCAAUGCACGAAAGUGUGACGGAGCGACGCCGCGUGUGGGACGAAGUCCUUCGGGAUGUAAACCACUGUCAGGGGUUACCAAGUUCUGAGGAGCCCCAGAGGAAGGCACGGCUAACUCUGUGCCAGCCGCCGCGGUAAUAC
This 493-nucleotide ribosomal RNA is filed under the name uncultured bacterium. Its description in RNAcentral is "bacterial SSU rRNA". It matches the Rfam family "Bacterial small subunit ribosomal RNA", at positions 8 to 526 of the family's 1533-position model. The record is from RNAcentral.